This 22-nucleotide microRNA is filed under the name Melibe leonina. RNAcentral's name for it is "mle-miR-216a-3p". Its record names the gene mle-miR-216a-3p. Lineage: Eukaryota; Metazoa; Mollusca; Gastropoda; Nudibranchia; Dendronotidae. The record is from miRBase by way of RNAcentral.
CAAGUUACCAGCCGAGGUUACA